GACGAACGCUGGCGGUGUGCUUAACACAUGCAAGUGGUGCGACGAACCAGAGCUUGCUCUGGGGCAAAGCCGCGAACGGGUGAGUAACACGUGGGUAAUCUACCCCGAUGACCGGGACAACCCGAGGAAACUCGGGCUAAUACCGGAUGUGGUGCGGAGACAUAAGUCUCUUCACUAAAGGUAGCUUCGGCUUCCGUAUUGGGAGGGGCCCGCGGCCCAUUAGCUUGUUGGUGGGGUCAAGGCCUACCAAGGCAACGAUGGGUAGCUGGUCUGAGAGGACGAUCAGCCACACUGGGACUGAGACACGGCCCAGACUCCUACGGGAGGCAGCAGUGGGGAAUCUUGCGCAAUGCGCGAAAGCGUGACGCAGCAACACCGCGUGAGGGAAGAAGGCCUUAGGGUUGUAAAACUCUUUCAGAUGGGACGAAGGUUCUCCGGUGAAUAGCCGAGAGGAUUGACGGUACCGUCAGAAGAAGCUCCGGCUAACUACGUG
RNAcentral lists this ribosomal RNA (493 nucleotides) under uncultured bacterium. RNAcentral's name for it is "partial 16S ribosomal RNA". It matches the Rfam family "Bacterial small subunit ribosomal RNA", at positions 28 to 507 of the family's 1533-position model. The record is from RNAcentral.